Molecule: long non-coding RNA, 280 nt
Filed under: Bos grunniens (domestic yak)
Lineage: Eukaryota; Metazoa; Chordata; Mammalia; Artiodactyla; Bovidae
Description: lncRNA (ENSBGRG00000006541.1)
Source: RNAcentral
UAAUAUUAUUCUAAGCGGGCAUGAGGCGCUGCGGCCCGAGCCCUGAUUGGUCUGGUUAUCUGACCCGGGGCCUGCCCGCGCCAGACAAUAGUCGGAGUCAAAUUAUUCGCCAUGGAGACGCUGUCAGUCACUGGUAACCCGAGCCCCGGCGGGCCAGGCGGCUCCCCCCGGCCGGCUCCGCUGACAGAUCGCCCGGCUCGGCGCAGAGCGGAGGGCGGCCCGAGACAGGAGCCGGAGGCUCUCCAAAAGCCUGGGAGGAGGCUGCUUGAAGCAAUUUAAU